Molecule: ribosomal RNA, 471 nt
Filed under: Triticum aestivum (bread wheat)
Lineage: Eukaryota; Viridiplantae; Streptophyta; Magnoliopsida; Poales; Poaceae
Description: partial small subunit ribosomal RNA
Source: RNAcentral
AUGUCUUCCUCAAGCUCCCGCGCCACCUCACGGAUGCAGAGUCGGGUGCGUGUGGACAUGCCUGUCUUUGUUUGUCCGCGGUGUCGGGCGGGCGUUGUUCGGAGGAUUUCUCACACACCGAGGAACCAGAAUCGUCCGUUCUACAUGUGUAGCAAGAAUGGGGUGACAUGCUUUUUUCUUUGGGUCGAUGCUCUGGCCAAGACUCUGAUGAAUGAACUGUAAGAAGAGCAUGAAGAAUGGGUGAUGCUGCCACGAACGGCAGUGGCCGCAUCACGAGCUCCGGAAAAAGAGAUGGAGGGCGAAGCAUGCACUGACAGAGAGCUACCUGUUGAGCUUAGGAUGUUGUUGAAGAAGGUUAGGAAGCUUGGAGAUCAAGCACAAAUACCAAUACCCAUUUGCAAUUACUUUUGGGCAUUUGUAGGUAUGGUAAUUGCACUGGUUGUAAUGUUUAAAAUGUAUGGAAAGGCAUGA